Etheostoma spectabile (orangethroat darter) is the source of this 3367-nucleotide long non-coding RNA. RefSeq lists it as uncharacterized. The transcript is spliced from 5 exons. The record is from RefSeq and is a predicted model, not a curated record. NCBI's taxonomy places the organism in Eukaryota, Metazoa, Chordata, Actinopteri, Perciformes, Percidae.
AGUUUUGUAACCUACCGGAUUCUUUUAAGGGGGCGGGAUUUAACGGAACGAAAACAGAUUGAGAGCCCUAGUUAGUUUAUCAAAGAAACGCCAAGAGAUGGUUGUAAGUUCAGUACAUCGGUUAAAUAACUGUCCAUUGAAGUUAAGAGAUCGGAGGAUUUACGUCAGUGUGUAACCCUGCUGAAACGGGAGAGUUAACGGUGUGUUGUAGCUGUUUCACUCGGUAGCUAACGGUAAUGAAGCUAACGCCAUAGCCACCUGUGGACGGUUGCUAAUGAGCUUAGCUGGCUAUUGUAACUAUCACCCCCAGGAGCUGGGAGAAGAGACUGUGCGUGCCAAAACCCACCAAGCUUGCCACGUUUUUGAAUGGUGUACAUCGGAUGGUGCUACGUGAUGCUGCGGAGCUUCCCGCUGGACAGAGGGUUCGAAAAGACCGCUACUGUCAGCUUUCUGAGUUACCGAGGAACAAGUGAGAGGUCGCUAAGAGAUGACAAAGGCAAAGAAUGUUUUCCAUAUAAUCACUCUGCCAAAAAGCAUCAUCUCUCAGGAGAGAUAAUAGAUCACUCAAUCAAUUACUGUGGCAAGGAUCAGAGACGCCUGCCAAGAUGCCUGCUUGGCCCUUCUGAGAAGGCACAUCUGGAUCAAAAGACACAGCUGCGCCAGUCAUGAUUGCAGCUGCUUAAUACCACAGGGCACAGCUCAAUGGCUGAAGAGGGGUUUAAGGGAACAUCAGACGGCUCAUCUACAGCAGGCCCAUAUCUAAAUAAUCUUACUGUGUAAGCUGUGUGGCAGAGGAAUUCAAGGUCACCCGAGCCAGAUAAGUCCUGCUCUACCAAGACUCGGUUGACACCAAAGUCUCUUCAGCAGGGGUAGAAGUCAGAAAAGGAAGGUAGUGGCGCAUCUAGGAUGCAGUGAAACGGGUGGAGGCAAGGCUGCGGCACAACACCCUGGUGGGCCCGGUGGCUACAGGGCGGGCCGGGCUUGGUAGCAAGCCGAAAGCCGUGCUACAGCAAUGCCAGAGGAAAGGAGAAGCGGAACUUAUUCAGAAGGAGGUACGAGCCAAGGUAGAGUCUGCUAUUUUCUUUCUUUCCAUAGCUCUUGGUGUUUGUUGUACUCGCAACUUACAUGACAUUAUCUUCUUCCUGCUUGUCUCCCUAUUAGAAAAUAAAAUUAGUUUAGGUGUCUGCAAACCCAAUUACUGGCUGAUAGAGGGUAUCCGAUGUGUCACCGUAUGGGUAAAAGGUUGAGGCAACACCAUUGAUUUAGGUCGGGCCUGAUUAGAUGUUGGAAAGUGAGUUUAAUUUUUCAGGAACUGUCACUUCAACAAUGGUGUAGUUAAGCACAAAGGGUUGUUUCAUUUCAAUGAUGGGACAAAAAUGCAGUUAGACAGGUUAGACAAUGACACAGAUGUGUCAUUCCCAUCUGUUAAAUUGCCACCAUACUGUUUACUGUAGAUAACGAUCACAGAAAUGUGGUUAGCUUCCAAUUUUUGAAUGAAGCUAGAGAGAAUAAGCUACGCUAUUGUGCUGUUAAUGUAAAUAAACACCUGUGGCUAUUUUUCAAAGUAAACCCUUUUUAAUGAAAGGUUUUUAUUGUAAAGUAGCGACACCCAGUUAAGUGUAGAUUUUAGUUGAGAUUAGAAGUUGGUAUGAGUCUGUAUUUUUACUUUUUUUCAAUUUUAUUUUUAUUUUUUUACUUUUUACACUUUUUUGUCAGUGGGUUGGUUUUACAGUUCACUGGUCAGAUUUACAGUACAGGCAAGUGUAAUUUUAGUGAGCCUUAAACCUCAUAGCACACACAGUAUACCUUUUCCAAUUUGUCUAAUACCCCUAGGAUUAGGAUGGAUGGAUGAGUCAGUGUUGUCAUACAAACAUUCAGAAAUGGCUACUGUAACACUGGGAGCAGACAGCAACAAAUGGGUCAAACGUCAUAGAGAAAAAAUAUAAGUUUUUGAAUAAAGAUUAAACGACAGCAGACACUUACCACACAACCAAAAAAAGGGAAAUAAAUCUAAAAUAAGCCUGAGUCUAAUUUAAGUCAGCUCUAUUAAUUUACAGUAGUUUUGAUUCGGCUCACCUCCCAUCCCUUCAUCAGAGAGUUUCUUGUGGUUCCAGUGAAAACCCCGUUAAUGUGAAGGUCAGUACACUUCCUAAAGCCACACAUUUUAUUGCUGUGUUAAAUGAGAAUGGCAUAAGCUGGGCAGUGCAUCCCUCACCCCCACUUUCCACAGGAUCCGGAACAGCUGCGGAUCCGCUCUGGAACGGCGUUGGAGUAAUUUGGUUUCCAUUAAAGUCAGUGUGUGUGUAUUUCCACGGACUACGGAAUGGCUGCGUCCCAGCUCUGGCGAUCCGCAGCUCUUUGGAGCAGAUGCGCAGAACUUCUAUUUUUGUCGGACGCCGGAGAGCUCCGCAGCAAUUCAGCACACGGCAGUGCGAGACAGGAGGUCAAGCACAGAAACAAAAUAGAACAUCCGGUUAAUUUUCAAAAGAAAAUAGACCGUGCUCACGGCGGAUCAUAUUUCCCUGCGCUACACCUUGAAAACAGCAGAGUUGUUUCCUCUCUAUUUUCUUUGCAUGGAAACAAACUGUUGAUGGUUUUUGUGGUUCUAUUUUACAUGAAGUUCCGAGAUCUUGUGGCUCCUCGAGACAGCUCCGAUUUGUUGCGGACAGCUUCAGCUGUCCAUGUCUGACAGCUGAAGCUGUCCGCAACAAAUCGGAGCUGUUCCGCAACAAAUGCGGACCGGGUGAGUAUUGAUUGACGGCGGAGCACGGAAGCCGAUCUGCAGCCGUUAUGCAUCCUGUGGAAAGUGGGGGUCAGCCUGCAAGGAAAGGCUGUUAAUCAGUUAUUUUGCAUUUCAUGCCUUUACAUACACUUUAUAAAGCAUACAUGUAUUUAUAGGUGGAAGAGUUCAAUAGAUGCAUCUAAGUAAUGCUAAUUAAAGUGAUCCAGUAGUUCUGUUGUCCUUAAUAUAGGCACAUGAUACCUCCUGUAAAGCCUGACUGGUUCACUGAUUGCCUCUAUGAGUCAUUACAACAGCAGCUGCACUUUUUUUAUUUUCAUCAAUGUGUGGCAGCAACAUUAAUUGCAUUUGCUAGGAAAGCAUAAGCGAGCAAGCAGGUGAUUCAGAGAGGAUAAUCAAUGAGUGUUGUGUCAUUACAGGUCACUUCAUCUGUUUUUGACCCCGUGUGCUGGCUCCCUCAUUUUUCACAAUGUCCCUGUAGGAUUUGUUUUUCUACAUUGUCACAUGUCAACUUUGUAGCACACACUGCUUCAUACAAUCUCCCCCCCCCCCACACACACACAGGUACACAACACAAUUCCUGUACAUUGUUAAAACAUAAAAUACAGAUACAUAGAUAACUAGAAU